CAGAGACGUAGUUUAAAGGCAAGUAUUCUGGCUUUGGGUGCCAGAGGUGGGGGUUCGACUCCCCCCGUUCUGA
This 73-nucleotide transfer RNA is filed under the name Pardachirus pavoninus (Pacific sole). RNAcentral describes it as "tRNA-Pro". It matches the Rfam family "tRNA". From Rfam's summary of the family: Transfer RNA (tRNA) molecules are approximately 80 nucleotides in length. Lineage: Eukaryota; Metazoa; Chordata; Actinopteri; Pleuronectiformes; Soleidae. The record is from RNAcentral.